AAUAAACCCAAAAAACCAUAACAACAUAAAGAAUGUGAUUUGUAAUUUAAACACAUACACAUCCUUUUUCAUGUAAUAUAUGCAGUUCUAGACAUUAAUGUUCAUUAAUGCUUUAUGCACUCUAGUGUUUUGAAAAACAUUUUUCAUGCUUUUUGUCUAAUAUCACCACUGGGACACAUUUUCCUUAGGCAGACAGUGCUUUAUAUCUCCCAUUAACUAAGUUUCAGUUCUUUAAAAAGUAAAUUAAGAAAAUAGGAUGAAAAGUCUAGUACCCAGUAAUUCAUAUCAGACGUGCAACCUGAUCCCAUGCUUGUUUACUCAAAAGAUAGUCUUGAAUUGAAUGCUGAAUCUUAAAAAAAAAAUACUGAAGUUUUUUGGCCAGCAUCUACAAGCCCAGCAUUGGUGUUCAGCAUACGGGAGCAGUUGCUACCAUCCACACACUCCAGCAGGGGAUAGCUGAGCUGAUGCUUUGCCUGGACGUCUGUCACCAUCCCCAGCCAUCACUUGGCAUCGAUUCCACCAGGUGUGCUUACCUGCCAGGGUAUCACUGUAAUGGCCUGGGAGCAAAAGGGAUACCGGUACUUAGCUCAGGGAAAUCCCUGUUCUGUGAUGGGAAACAUUGAUUGCAAAUAUAUCAGCACUUCUGUUAGCUUUGUAGUGACAUCCACCUUCUAGAGAGAAGAUUUGCAUUCAUCAAAUAAUCUUGAUAACUAUACAAGAACCAACUUGGAUGAAGUGGAUAAAUGUUGGGCAAGAGUGGGUGAGACCCGCAUUCAAGUCCCUGCUUAGUCACAAAGCCACCGCAUAGCCUUGGAUAACAUAGUUAUAUGAACACAGCCUCAGUUCAGCACUCAUGGAGGGUUGACAAAUGCAACAGAUACAUCAGGUGAGGCUGGAGCCUUGUUCAGUUGCUAGUAGAGGUGAUGUGCGCAUUUCAAGCAGGAGUGAUCACCAAAAACUGCUACAAGCAGGAUUGGUGCAAGGACAGCCCUGCUCACAGCCUGUUUCAAGCAGGGUUGUGCUUGCUUUAGUCCAGCAAGCCACUAUCCCUCUGCCGACAACUUAGAUAUGAGACAGCAGAAGAUGUCACUGGAGAAUGUUCACAAACUCCUACUUCCUUUCUUUUUCCACAGUGAGCUUGGAUGAGCAGCAUUAGAUUCCUCAGAUUCAUUUCUCACUAUAGGGCAAGCCUUGCCAUCACACAUGGACAUGAAUACACCGCAGACAUGUGUUUUGCCACGCUGGUGGUGCAUGUUGCUGCCCCUACCCAAUUUUAAUUAAGCAGCAACAUAAAAAGUUUACCCACAUUUUAAUUUGUAAGGAAAAUAUGAAUAUUUUCAACUUCAGUGUUCUAUCCUAUCUUGCUUUUAGGUUAUAUAUGUUUGUAACAUACAUAUUUGAUGUUAGAAUUGCCUUCAAAAAUAUAUAAAUUGGGUACCCCUGGUCUAGAUUUGUUUUCUUUUAUUAACUUGCCAGGUUGCUUUUUUCUCUUCCGUUUAGGAACUUCAUACCUGCAGCAAAAGCUAAAAAACCCAGUAUAUAAAGAGGAAAAGAAUGCUGUAAUCUGUGUCCAAAGCUAGCAUUGUUUGUACAUUAAAUCAAUUCUCAAGAGAGACAUUGAUAGAUCAGCAUGUCACAGCUUUGUGUAAACAAAGUCAUGUGAAUUUGAAUGCUUAAUAGAGACUAGAAGAGAAUAGUAUAUCUGAUAAUAUGAACAAAGCAAAGUUCUAUUUGGCUGUGCAAAUAAUGCAUGACAUUUGUAGAGCUAAUAGUCUCAAGAGUCAGCAAGUAGAAAAGGACGUUGAAUUAAAAGUGUACAUAAGGGCACUGAAUUAAGCUAGAAUCCACACGAUAACUUGUCUGACAUACAAUGUAGAGCAUACAUUCUAUAGUAACAGUCUGCACUAAUCUAUAAAUGGGUUAUUUGGUUAUUGAGGUGCUGAGAAACUAUUGUUGUUACAGUUCUAUUAUCACCUCCUGCAGACUUUGAUUUCUUCAUUCUAUUGCUCUUGGUAGCAUAGUAGCUCAUUAUUACCAUCCCCCCACCCUGAAGCCUUAUGGCAUCAAUUAGAUUCUAAAAACCCAGUGAUGGACAACAUCAUUCCAGAAGAAACAAGAACCAUUUCUUGCCUUGUUGUUAUAUUGAGCAUUUGUUUUAAUCUCACACUUCUUCAUACCUCACCUUCAUUUUUUUAAAUGUAUUUUU
Podarcis muralis (Common wall lizard) is the source of this 2206-nucleotide non-coding RNA. The record is from RefSeq and is a predicted model, not a curated record. NCBI's taxonomy places the organism in Eukaryota, Metazoa, Chordata, Lepidosauria, Squamata, Lacertidae.